Molecule: long non-coding RNA, 125 nt
Organism: Papaver somniferum (opium poppy)
Lineage: Eukaryota; Viridiplantae; Streptophyta; Magnoliopsida; Ranunculales; Papaveraceae
Exons: 3
Source: RefSeq, a predicted model, not a curated record
AGGACUCUACCAAGAUUAGGGAUCUCAUGGGAGCAUUUUGGGAUAAGCUGUCUGUGGAUGAGGCUAAGGAUGUUAUAUCAUUUGAUACUGUGAUGUUGGAGGGAGUUCCUGGAUCUGCAGUUGUA